GACGAACGCUGGCGGCGUGCUUAACGCAUGCAAGUCGAACGGAAAGGCCCUGCUUUUGUGGGGUGCUCGAGUGGCGAACGGGUGAGUAACACGUGAGUAACCUGCCCUUGACUUUGGGAUAACUUCAGGGAACUGGGGCUAAUACCGGAUAGGAGCUCCUGCUGCAUGGUGGGGGUUGGAAAGUUUCGGCGGUUGGGGAUGGACUCGCGGCUUAUCAGCUUGUUGGUGGGGUAGUGGCUUACCAAGGCUUUGACGGGUAGCCGGCCUGAGAGGGUGACCGGCAACAUUGGGAAUGAGAUACGGCCCGAACUCCUACGGGAGGCAGCAGUGGGGAAUAUUGCACAAUGGGCGGAAGCCUGAUGCAGCAACGCCGCGUGCGGGAUGACGGCCUUCGGGUUGUAAACCGCUUUCGCCUGUGACGAAGCGUGAGUGACGGUAAUGGGUAAAGAAGCACCGGCUAACUACGUG
Molecule: ribosomal RNA, 468 nt
Filed under: uncultured bacterium
Lineage: Bacteria
Description: partial 16S ribosomal RNA
Rfam family: Bacterial small subunit ribosomal RNA
Source: RNAcentral